UGGUGGAGUGAUUUGUCUGGCUAAUCCCGAUAACGAACGAGACCUUGACCUGCUAACUAGUCACUGUAAGUGCUUUUGUGCUUGCAGGCUGAUCUUCUUAGAGGGACAAUCUGUGUUUCCAGCAGAUGGAGGUGCGAGGCAAUAACA
RNAcentral lists this ribosomal RNA (147 nucleotides) under uncultured eukaryote. Its description in RNAcentral is "partial 18S ribosomal RNA". It matches the Rfam family "Eukaryotic small subunit ribosomal RNA", at positions 1299 to 1458 of the family's 1831-position model. The record is from RNAcentral.